This 494-nucleotide ribosomal RNA is filed under the name uncultured bacterium. RNAcentral describes it as "partial 16S ribosomal RNA". It matches the Rfam family "Bacterial small subunit ribosomal RNA", at positions 28 to 507 of the family's 1533-position model. The record is from RNAcentral.
GACGAACGCUGGCGGCGUGCUUAACACAUGCAAGUCGAACGGAAAGGCCUGCUUUCCCUUGUGGAUUGCGGGUGCUCGAGUGGCGAACGCGUGAGUAACACGUGAGUGAUCUGCCCCCAACUUGGCAAUAAGCUGGGGAUACUGCGUCAAAUCCCCUCCUGACCCGUGGGGGGGGGCGGUUGGUGGAAACGGUUGUUCAGGUGCUUGCGGAUGAGCUGCCGGCUUAUCGGGUGGUUGGUGGGGAAGGGGCUAACGAGGGGGGGGACGGUUAGCCGGCCUGGGAGGGUGGACGGCCACAUUGGGACUGAGAUACGGCCCAGACUCCUACGGGAGGCAGCAGUGGGGAAUAAUGCACAAUGGGCGGAAGCCUGAUGCAGCGACGCCGCGUGGGGGAUGACGGCCUUGGGGUUGUAAACUCCUUGCGACCGCGAGGAAGCCGCCUGGUUGGAAGGGUGGUGACGGUAGUGGUAGAAGAAGCACCGGCUAACUACGUG